Small nuclear RNA from Ochotona curzoniae (black-lipped pika), 107 nucleotides. The record is from RefSeq and is a predicted model, not a curated record. NCBI's taxonomy places the organism in Eukaryota, Metazoa, Chordata, Mammalia, Lagomorpha, Ochotonidae.
GUGCUCGCUUCGGCAGCACACAUACUAACAUUGGAACGAUACAAAGAAAAUUAGCAUGGCCCCUGCGCAACCAUGACACGCAGGUUCUUUACUCUCAUAGUGAUGAU